GACCUUCUUGAUUGCAAGAGACAGAAUUCCAAUUUGACCUAGCAUAGCAAAAAGGGGAAAAUUUUUUCUAGGUAAUCAUGAUCAGCAGAGCGAGAAAUCAGGCACAGCCUUCAGACAGCUGAACCCAGAGUGUGGAAUCUCCCCAGAAUUCUCUCACUCUGUGACCCUUGUCUAUUUCUUACCCCCUCCUUCAAUAAUUUGUUAUUAAAAAUUCAAUAUACAGAAAAGUUGAAAAAUUUGUACAUAUAUAUACUACCACUUAAAUUUUACAGUAGUUAACAUUUGCUAUAAUUAAUUUAUCACAUAUCUGUCCAUCCAUUUCCGUUUAUUUUGCAUUUGGACUUCUUUUCUCAGAUUAGCCUCUGCCAUGAUGGCUUAAAUCCCCAUCUCAUAAUUUACAGUCUUAAUUCUGCAGUUCCAGUUCAAAAACUCCUAUGGCCAGACUCAGAUUCAUCUAACUUCGGUUGUACACCUGCCCCCUGGACUCACUAAAGGGAAGGUAUAGUGUAAUAGGCAGCUCCCAUAAGGACUACAUGGUGGGUAUGGAGGAGGGUCAGGAAACAGAGGCAAGCAGACAAAGCAAUAGAGAUGUGAUGAGUGCAGUGACUCGGGGAAGAGCAGGGGACUGUAGGGAUGCAAAGAGAGGCACCUAAUCCAGCUGAGGUCGUCAAGGUCAUCAAAAUGCAUCUUUUUUCUCUUUUUAACAUUUGUUUAUUUGGCUGAGCUGGGUCUUAGGUGCAGCACCUGGAAACUUUUAGUGGCAGCAUGUGGGAUCUAGUUACUUCCCUGACCAGAGAUCGAACCCAGGAUCCUUGCAUUAGGAGCAUGGAGUUUUAGCCAGUGGACCAUAAGGGAAGUCUGAAAACAUGUCUUCUUUCAAAGGAGGUGAUUCCUGAAAUGAGCCUUAAAAGACAUGGAAAGUUGAGCACUGGGAAAAGGCUAGAUGCUAAAGAGAUCAUGGAAUGCAAAGGGCAAAGUCGUGAGAGAGUUUGGGGAAGUAUAAGAAAAGAAAAAUAAAAUGACUGCACGGGUGUGUUCCAGUGUUGAAAUACUUUAUGAUGCUGGAAAAGUGAACUUGCUCUCAAAGCUAUGGUGUGCAUGUUAGUAGAUUGAAAUUGGCCAUUGUAGGAGGACUUAUACCAUUGAAAUCAGCAAUGGCUUUCUUUUUUUCUUAGACUAGUUACACAUUUUCCAGCACUGCUGAUCCCAGGCUAUUAAAAACCUGAAGAUGAUGAUUAUUAAAUCUUCUGAUGUCCUCUGGUGUAGGCUGAAGUAUUUCUAUUAUAAAAGUUUCUCCUAAAAAAAAAAAAAAGUUUCUCCUGAAGAUUCUGCUUCUGGCCUUGAAUUCUCUCCCUUUGAUGUUUUAUUCACUCAUUCACAUCAUGAGCCUGCCUACAAGGUCCUGUGCUUGUGCUGCAGAUAAGUGGGUAGUUGCUGACACCACCCAAAAAUCAUGGCCCCGGCUGUUAAAUACCCCCAGAGGCCUAGGGCCAGUGCCAUUGUUCUUGUCUGGACUUCACAGAGAAUUUUAUCAGGAACUAAAGCAGACAGAUUGCUCUCAGGAUAGAAAGAUUUCUUAGCUCGUGGGAUUUAAAAAAAUAAUAAUCCAAUAACAUUGAUGGAAUCCGAGCUGGCUCCAGGGUAUCUACCUCCUGUCUAGAUUCCACAGAUACGGAUCCUGAAUAAAAUUUCUGCAAGCCUUCCUUCUACAGAUAUCAGCAUCAGCACCUGGAGGACUAACCAGUGGAAACUGGUAGUCCAAAAAAGCAGGUGGUGUUCACUCUAAAAAAUAUCCAGCACACCAGACUCCAUCUGAGCAUCUGCUUCUGAAGAACCCAACCAGCAACAGCAAGAAUUACAGAAGCAUUAGUUCUCUUCUAUCCCAUAAUUCUGAUGUCUUCAUGUGAGCAGGACCAGCUCUAAAUGCCAUGGUUCAGCAGAGAGUUCAGUACUCUACUAGUUUGUAUGGUUAAAUCUCAGUGGGGUUAUAUUAAUUUCCUAUUGCUGCUGUGAAAAACUACCACAAACUUAGUGGCUUAUUAUAAUAAAAUAAUUAUUUUAUUUAUAUAAAAUUAUAUAUAUAAUUUACAUAUAUAAUUAUAAAAAAUAAAUAGCAGAAUUUAUUCCCUCAUAGUUCUAGAGUCUAAAAGCCCAAAAUCAUUUUAACUGGGCCAAAAUCAAGAUGUCAAUGCAGAGUCAUGCCUCCCUCCAUUCCUCGCCUCUUCUAGCUUCUGGUGGCUAUCAGAGCUUGCCUACAGCCACAUCACUCCAGUCUCUGCCUCCACAAUCAUAUUGCCUCCUCCUCAACUGCGGGUCAUCAUAUCUCCUUCUUUCUCCUUCUAAGAAGGUGUUGUGUGAUUGCAUUUAGGGCCCACCCUAAUAAUCCAAGAUAAUCUUCCUGUAACAAGGUCUUUACAUAUUUGUGCAAAGGCCAUGUUUCCACAUAAGGUAACACAGGUUUCAAAGAUUAGGACCUGAUAUCUUCAGAAGCAGAUGUUCUUGUGAGAGAUUGUAAUUGUGGAUGAUAGAAGAUGGGAUAUAGUCAGAUAUUGUUCAACUCAGCCCUGUCCAUUCAGUAAAGAGGACAGAUGACUGUAAGCCAAUGUUUCACACCCUGGUAAGGUUUCAGAUAGGAGCUGAGCUAGACUGUGUAGAUCCUGGAGGAUGACAGAA
Long non-coding RNA from Bubalus bubalis (water buffalo), 2673 nucleotides. RefSeq lists it as uncharacterized. The transcript has 3 exons. The record is from RefSeq and is a predicted model, not a curated record. Lineage: Eukaryota; Metazoa; Chordata; Mammalia; Artiodactyla; Bovidae.